CCGCGUGCAAGUUGGCCGCACGGUCAGCAACACAAUCGAAUUGACGGGGACCUCCUAAAGCCUGCAACACCAACCGUCCGGGGAAACUCGGGCGGGGCCCUCACGGGGUGGUAAGAGAGUGCAGGAUGAACAAUGGACGAUCCGCAGCGAAGACCCUACCGGCGAGAGCCCACGGGUACCGUUCACAGACUAAGUGAUUGUGGGCGGGGCGUCAGGCCCCGUCUAAGAUAUAGUCGGUCUCUGCUCGAAAGGGCAGAGCCUAGCGCGUCCGUAGGUGAACCUGCGGAAGGAUCAUUAAAGAAUCGCCCCGUUUUUUGAAAUGGGUUCUAUUCCCAAACCGUGUAUACAUACCUUUGUUGCUUUGGCAGGCCGCCUUUUAGGCGUCGGCUCCGGCUGACUGUGCCUGCCAGAGGACCCAAACUCUUUUGUUUAGUGAUGUCUGAGUACUAUAUAAUAGUUAAAACUUUCAACAACGGAUCUCUUGGUUCUGGCAUCGAUGAAGAACGCAGCGAAAUGCGAUAAGUAAUGUGAAUUGCAGAAUUCAGUGAAUCAUCGAAUCUUUGAACGCACAUUGCGCCCCUUGGUAUUCCGAGGGGCAUGCCUGUUCGAGCGUCAUUAUACCACUCAAGCCUCGGCUUGGUCUUGGGGUUCGCGGUCUCGCGGCCCUUAAAUCAGUGGCGGUGCCGUCUGGCUCUAGCGUANUAUUCUCUCGCUAUAGGGUCCAGGUGACUACCUGCCAUAACCCCCAUCUUUACGGNUGACCUCGGAUCAGGUAGGGAU
This 780-nucleotide ribosomal RNA is filed under the name uncultured fungus. RNAcentral describes it as "eukaryotic LSU rRNA". The stretch from base 462 to 615 matches the Rfam family "5.8S ribosomal RNA". Lineage: Eukaryota; Fungi. The record is from RNAcentral.